RNAcentral lists this ribosomal RNA (459 nucleotides) under uncultured bacterium. RNAcentral describes it as "partial 16S ribosomal RNA". It matches the Rfam family "Bacterial small subunit ribosomal RNA", at positions 338 to 795 of the family's 1533-position model. The record is from RNAcentral.
CCUACGGGUGGCAGCAGUGAGGAAUAUUGGUCAAUGGGCGUAAGCCUGAACCAGCCAAGUCGCGUGAGGGAUGAAGGUUCUAUGGAUCGUAACCCUCUUUUAUAAGGGAAUAAAGUGCGGGACGUGUUCCGUUUUGUAUGUACCUUAUGAAUAAGGAUCGGCUAACUCCGUGCCAUCAGCCGCGGUACUACGGAGGAUCCGAGCGUUAUCCGGAUUCAUUGGGCUUACAGGGAGCGUAGGCGGGCGGUCACGUCAGCUGUAAAAUCGCGCGGCUCAACCGCGCCCCGCAGUUGACACUGGACGACUUGAGUGCACAACAGGCAGGCGGAAUUCGUGGUGUAGCAGUGAAAUGCGUAGAUAGCACGAGGAACCCCGAUUGCGAAGGCAGCCUGCCGGGGUGCGACUGACGCUGAGGCUCGAAGGUGCGGGUAUCAAACAGGAUUAGAUACCCCAGUAGUC